RNAcentral lists this ribosomal RNA (462 nucleotides) under uncultured bacterium. RNAcentral describes it as "partial 16S ribosomal RNA". It matches the Rfam family "Bacterial small subunit ribosomal RNA", at positions 28 to 507 of the family's 1533-position model. The record is from RNAcentral.
GACGAACGCUGGCGGCGUGCUUAACACAUGCAAGCCGAACGGUGAAGCCCUUCGGGGUGGAUCAGUGGCGAACGGGUGAGUAACACGUGAGCAACCUGCCCCUGGCUCUGGGACAACCACUGGAAACGGUGGCUAAUACCGGAUACGACCCGCCUCGGCAUCGAGUGUGGGUGGAAAGUUUUUCGGCUGGGGAUGGGCUCGCGGCCUAUCAGCUUGUUGGUGAGGUGAAGGCUCACCAAGGCGACGACGGGUAGCCGGCCUGAGAGGGCGACCGGCCACACUGGGACUGAGACACGGCCCAGACUCCUACGGGAGGCAGCAGUGGGGAAUAUUGCACAAUGGGCGAAAGCCUGAUGCAGCGACGCCGCGUGAGGGAUGACGGCCUUCGGGUUGUAAACCUCUUUCAGCUCCGAAGAAGCGAAAGUGACGGUAGGAGCAGAAGAAGCACCGGCUAACUACGUG